This 1049-nucleotide long non-coding RNA is filed under the name Scleropages formosus (Asian bonytongue). Its description in RNAcentral is "lncRNA (ENSSFOG00015031682.1)". The record is from RNAcentral. Lineage: Eukaryota; Metazoa; Chordata; Actinopteri; Osteoglossiformes; Osteoglossidae.
AGGGGUCACAGUGAAGACAACACGUACGAUUUCCAACUGAAUGCAUAACUGUCUGUAGAGUUAUGCUUAUCAUCUUGCAUGUUGUCUUCAUAUUUAAACCAGCAUAUUAUAUCUUUUUUUUUGUAUCCGGACUGAUAUGCCGUUAUUAACAAAGUCAAAUUACUUUGGCAUGAACAUCAUUCUAACAACUCUAUACUGAAUGUUUAAGUUAUAAAAUCAUUGUUUUUAAAUGUGACUAAUGUAUAAAUUUGACACUUUUAUGAUUGCAUUUUUCAUCUAGUAUCACUUUAUAAUAACUUUGUUUCACUUUUUCUGAAGACUCUACUGCUGUUUUACAGUUAACACAGCACAACACAGAAGAAGCCUUUGGGUAUGAAAGGAAGAAUUGAACUGUAAACGGCAUCAGUGCCACAGUGGAUUACUGAAUUUCUCUCUUAUUCUAUGCUGGUUUUCCAGUCACACCUCUGGCCACAAUGUCACCCUGAACUAAGUAGUACACGAUGUCAAACAUCCAGAAGACCACUAGGUCCAGGGCCACCACAAGGCCUCCAACAGCAAUGUGUCUGAGGAUAGAUAAUCCGCUGAGCGCGGUGGCCUGCCUCUCCUUAUCGGUGAGAUACAAAGAACCUGGGGACAAAACACAUUAAAAUUCGUGUCAUGACCAUGGUAUCAUCAAACAGGGCUAGGUUCUUUAGGUGCCCUUUGUUUUUCUUUCUGGUUCCACUCCCUCCCUGGCUCCAGCUACUCGUCUUUGGGAACCUUGUUACCUUGCCCUACUUCUCUUCAAGGAAGUAUGAUCCAUUAGGCUUGCAAUUCCCCUUCGCCAGUCACUCUCCCCAUCGGCUCCUUGCUUUCAACUCACAGGGACAGAUCCCAGCGUGACAUUUGGAUUGAAACCCAACACCACUGGACUGACUCAACUAAGUCAGCUAAGGAUAUGAAACAACAACAAUUUAAAAAAGGAAACAUGACGCAAGACCUUCUACUCUAUAAUUUCGAAAGAAAAUGGAAGAGGCACUUCCAGUCAUUUGAAACAGUGAAAACGGUCA